GACGAACGCUGGCGGCGUGCUUAACACAUGCAAGUCGAACGGUAAGGCCCUUCGGGGUACACGAGUGGCGAACGGGUGAGUAACACGUGGGUGAUCUGCCCUGCACUUCGGGAUAAGCCUGGGAAACUGGGUCUAAUACCGGAUAGGACCACUGCCUGCAUGGGUGGUGGUGGAAAGCUUUUGCGGUGUGGGAUGGGCCCGCGGCCUAUCAGCUUGUUGGUGGGGUGAUGGCCUACCAAGGCGACGACGGGUAGCCGGCCUGAGAGGGUGACCGGCCACACUGGGACUGAGAUACGGCCCAGACUCCUACGGGAGGCAGCAGAGGGGAAUAUUGCACAAUGGGCGCAAGCCUGAUGCAGCGACGCCGCGUGAGGGAUGACGGCCUUCGGGUUGUAAACCUCUUUCAGCACCGACGAAGCGCAAGUGACGGUAGGUGCAGAAGAAGGACCGGCCAACUCCGUGCCAGCCGCCGCAGUAA
Molecule: ribosomal RNA, 478 nt
Filed under: uncultured bacterium
Lineage: Bacteria
Description: partial 16S ribosomal RNA
Rfam family: Bacterial small subunit ribosomal RNA
Source: RNAcentral